Molecule: ribosomal RNA, 254 nt
Filed under: uncultured bacterium
Lineage: Bacteria
Description: partial 16S ribosomal RNA
Rfam family: Bacterial small subunit ribosomal RNA
Source: RNAcentral
UACAGAGGUCUCAAGCGUUGUUCGGAUUCAUUGGGCGUAAAGGGUGCGUAGGCGGCGCGGUAAGUCGGGUGUGAAAUCUCGGAGCUUAACUCCGAAACUGCAUUCGAUACUGCCGUGCUUGAGGACUGGAGAGGAGACUGGAAUUUACGGUGUAGCGGUGAAAUGCGUAGAUAUCGUAAGGAAGACCAGUGGCGAAGGCGGGUCUCGUGGACAGUUCCUGACGCUGAGGCACGAAGGCCAGGGGAGCGAACAGG